Molecule: ribosomal RNA, 376 nt
Filed under: uncultured bacterium
Lineage: Bacteria
Description: bacterial SSU rRNA
Rfam family: Bacterial small subunit ribosomal RNA
Source: RNAcentral
UCGAGGAAUUUUGGGCAAUGAGCGAAAGCUUGACCCAGCAAUGCCGCGUGCGGGAUGAAGGUCUUCGGAUUGUAAACCGCUGUCGAGAGGGACGAAAAAUGACGGUACCUCUGGAGGAAGCCACGGCUAACUACGUGCCAGCAGCCGCGGUAAUACGUAGGUGGCGAGCGUUGUUCGGAUUUAUUGGGCGUAAAGGGUCCGCAGGUGGUUGGUUAAGUUUGGUGUGAAAUCCCGGAGCUCAACUCCGGAACUGCAUUGAAAACUGACUGACUGGAGAAUCGGAGAGGAGAUUGGAAUUCCAGGUGUAGCGGUGGAAUGCGUAGAUAUCUGGAAGAACACCGAAAGCGUAGGCAGAUCUCUGGACGAUGACUGACAC